Molecule: unclassified non-coding RNA, 995 nt
Filed under: Hevea brasiliensis (rubber tree)
Lineage: Eukaryota; Viridiplantae; Streptophyta; Magnoliopsida; Malpighiales; Euphorbiaceae
Source: RNAcentral
GAAAAAAAAAAAAAAAAACUAAAGAUUGAAAGAAUCCACAUCUAAAAGGUAUUUUGGAUCAACAAUUUACUUGGAGAGAGUAAUAAGAAGGAACAACUUCAAUUAACAAUGGGAUAUUUCUAAACAAUUAAUUAAAAAAAAAAAAACUCUUUGGACAACUUUCUACAGUAGCUAAAAUUAAACAAAGAUCCAAAACCCAUUCAACUACAGAAUUUUAGGUAUCUAUUUGCGAGGAUUAAAGGCAAUAAACCCAUUUUCAAUUCACGUGAACAAACGACCAUUAAAAAAAAAAAAUUUAAACAAAGUUUAGAAAAAAGAAAGAAUCAAUUGCACUAUACAUCUCACAUUGCCCAUAUCAUAAAAGGAUAAAAUGAAUAAAAAGCGAGAUGACUGACAAUGGAUCGAAAGCUAAAACUUCGAGUAGAUCUGUGGUGUUGGGUUUGUAGAUCUGCAAACUAAACAUCUCCUUAGAAGGGAGGCUAUAAAACUUCGAGCAGAUGUUACUUCUAUAGCAUCAAUUUUGAAACGGCAUAGGAUUGUGAUGGAUAAACAGAUCUGGAUGAAGACUUAUUUGCCCAUACUCAUCACAAUACCCAGACUUAAUUACUUAUUAGACUUGGGACGGGUUGACAAGGCGAUGAGGCGAUGUGUGACUGCAAUUGCGAGGUGAUGUGCGACUGCAAGUGCAACGCGAUGAGAUAGAAAUCAUACUCUGAAUAGCUGUGUUUAGGGGCAGUGUUAGAAAGAGAGAGAGAAUAGAGAGAUAGAGAGGAUAUGAUAAUGGAGAGAAAGAAAGGAUAGAGAGAUAAAAGAGAGAUUAAAAAAAUGUUGUUUUAUUGUUAAAAUGCCACCUGGUAUGAGAAACAUUUUUUAAAUAGUUUUUAUUACACUUAGUUAUGUCCACAUCAGCAAUCGGUCAGAGUACCCAUCGGAAAACGGCUUGAGGGACUUUAUGUUGUAUUAAAUUGAAGUUUAAGUAUUUUUGUGAUACAAAU